Mytilus californianus (California mussel) is the source of this 1270-nucleotide long non-coding RNA. RefSeq lists it as uncharacterized. The transcript is spliced from 3 exons. The record is from RefSeq and is a predicted model, not a curated record. Lineage: Eukaryota; Metazoa; Mollusca; Bivalvia; Mytilida; Mytilidae.
AUGACAGAACCCAUACAAGAGUUGAAUCCUUGUCGCUGGAAGGUAAGAUAGGAAAGGCAUGGGUGAAAUAAACAUGACAGAACCCAUACACGAGUUGAAUCCUUGUCGCUGGAAGGUACGAUAGGGAAGGCAAGGGUGAAAUAAACAUGACAGAACCCAUACACGAGUUGAAUCCUUGUCGCCGGAAGGUAAGAUAGGAAAUGCAUGGGUGACGUAGAACAUGAUUGAAAAAAGUCGGCUAUUAUAUUUUGAACAAUUUGAAAUAUCUUGAACUUUAAUAAUAAAAUUGAGAAUGGAAAUGGGGCCGGAAUAUGUCAAAGAGACAACAACCCGACCAAAGAGACCCGAUUACAGAUUCUUUACUAUUAAUAUAAACUAAAUUGAAUGAACAUAGUCGUUGAUUUCAGUGUCAUUUGGUCUCUUGUGGAGAGUUGUCUUAUUUGCAAUCAUACCACAUCUUCUUAUUUCUAUAUAGACCCAAAACCUUUAUUCAGUGCUUUAGUGUUUAUAACAUCAUUUAUUUCGAUUUAUGAUAGCGAUUCCGAUUUUAAUUUCAAGUGCUUCUGACGUAUUCCUUAACAUGUUUGAUCAUGUUUGCUCAAUACCGAAUGUUUUGAAGAGCAAAUCAUUCAUUACUUUUGUUCCGUAUCCCGUGUCCGUUUCACCGUGUCACAUUUCAUUUUACACACAAACGUCAUGUGAUUACGUCAGCAAUCAAUGCAGUGUUUGAUCAAUUCAACAUCGUCUGCUUGAAAACAUCAACAGAUGGGUUAUGUCACCUUUCGGUAGGUUUUCAUCAGAGUGAGGGGUCAAACUAGAACAGCCUGGUCGACUUUUUUUUAGGUGUAAAUAACAUUGCUUAAUUCGCUUGUGUAAAGAAAAAUGUCACGUGGUACCACUUUUUCAAUCUCCACAUUGAAACAAUAACUAUCCCAACCAUCAUAUGUCAAAUUUGAUAAAGUUAACAUCAUAUUCCAGUUGUUACGAUUAAAUUAUACGUACUAUUUUGAUUACGCGCCAUUUUGGGAGUCUAGUGUAGAAAAUAUGCGCGUCCAGCUUACUAAAAUUAUAAGCCUUUUAAGUAUCAACCUGCUUUACCGAAAAUUAGAUUAUAUUAAAAUAAAAGAUGUAUAAAAAUAAAAUAUAGUGAGGUAAUAUAACAAAUGGAAAAUAAAUAAUUGCCCAUGAAAUGUUUACAUGUAAACGUUCAUGAGAUAUCAACCAUGAUCCGUAUGAGAAUUUACUACGACAUAUUUCGUUUUAAAAUUUA